CAUAAAUGGUUUAUUAUUACUGAUUCCAUGACAGUUAAACUAUACAUCUAUGUAUAAUAGGAAAAAAGUGAAUAAUAUGAAAAUAAUGAGGAAACAUAUGUUACUUAUGUUUUAUUCAUACCUAAAUUAAUUCAGUAAUGUAUGUGAUGAUUUUCCAAAAGAAGAACCCAUAUGUGCAAUUAGUGACUUAAGCAUGGGCAUAUAUAAACUGCCAUAUACCAUGUAGAUUAGAAGGCUCUGAUGAAGUAGGGCUGCACCGUACGAAACGCGUAAGGCAAAUCACGCCAUCUGACUAAGAGGAGCAUUUGCCAGUGGAGACUGAACUGCAAGCAUCCCUGUCAACCAAGGAUUCCGAACAUCAACAUCAUCUAGUGAGAACGGAGCUCACCCCUCAAUGUGAGGUCGGAGGUGUAACACACGGUGACAUGCACGCCGUCCUCACCGGCUGCCAGGAUACAGAGGAAAUAUUAACUACUACAAUCCUCAACCAUCAGGGUCUGGACUACAAGUUUACUUGCUUAUCUUAUUUCCUAUAUACUGGACUAUCUGCC
Non-coding RNA from Pelobates cultripes (western spadefoot toad), 551 nucleotides. Lineage: Eukaryota; Metazoa; Chordata; Amphibia; Anura; Pelobatidae. The record is from the annotation of a GenBank genome assembly.